This 69-nucleotide transfer RNA is filed under the name Rattus norvegicus (Norway rat). It matches the Rfam family "tRNA". From Rfam's summary of the family: Transfer RNA (tRNA) molecules are approximately 80 nucleotides in length. The record is from Rfam by way of RNAcentral. Lineage: Eukaryota; Metazoa; Chordata; Mammalia; Rodentia; Muridae.
GGGGAUUUAGCUCAGUGGUAGAGCACUUGUCUAGCAAGCACAAGGCCCUGGGUUCGGUUCCCAGCUCCG